AGUGAACGCUGGCGGUAGGCCUAACACAUGCAAGUCGAACGGCAGCACAGUAAGAGCUUGCUCUUACGGGUGGCGAGUGGCGGACGGGUGAGGAAUACAUCGGAAUCUACUUUUUCGUGGGGGAUAACGUAGGGAAACUUACGCUAAUACCGCAUACGACCUACGGGUGAAAGCAGGGGAUCUUCGGACCUUGCGCGAUUGAAUGAGCCGAUGUCGGAUUAGCUAGUUGGCGGGGUAAAGGCCCACCAAGGCGACGAUCCGUAGCUGGUCUGAGAGGAUGAUCAGCCACACCGGAACUGAGACACGGUCCAGACUCCUACGGGAGGGAGCAGUGGGGAAUAUUGGACAAUGGGCGCAAGCCUGAUCCAGCCAUACCGCGUGGGUGAAGAAGGCCUUCGGGUUUUAAAGCCCUUUUGUUGGGAAAGAAAAGCAGCAGGUUAAUACCCCGCUGUUCUGACGGUACCCAAAGAAUAAGCACCGGCUAACUUCGUG
RNAcentral lists this ribosomal RNA (492 nucleotides) under uncultured bacterium. Its description in RNAcentral is "partial 16S ribosomal RNA". It matches the Rfam family "Bacterial small subunit ribosomal RNA", at positions 29 to 507 of the family's 1533-position model. The record is from RNAcentral.